GUGGCGAACGGGUGAGUAAUGCAUCGGAACGUGCCCAGUAGUGGGGGAUAGCCCGGCGAAAGCCGGAUUAAUACCGCAUACGACCUACGGGUGAAAGCGGGGGACCGCAAGGCCUCGCGCUAUUGGAGCGGCCGAUGUCAGAUUAGGUUGUUGGUGGGGUAAAAGCCUACCAAGCCGACGAUCUGUAGCUGGUCUGAGAGGACGACCAGCCACACUGGGACUGAGACACGGCCCAGACUCCUACGGGAGGCAGCAGUGGGGAAUUUUGGACAAUGGGGGCAACCCUGAUCCAGCCAUGCCGCGUGCGGGAAGAAGGCCUUCGGGUUGUAAACCGCUUUUGUCAGGGAAGAAACGCUCUGGGCUAAUACCCCGGGGUAAUGACGGUACCUGAAGAAUAAGCACCGGCUAACUACGUGCCAGCAGCCGCGGUAAUACGUAGGGUGCAAGCGUUAAUCGGAAUUACUGGGCGUAAAGCGUGCGCAGGCGGUCCUGCAAGACAGAUGUGAAAUCCCCGGGCUUAACCUGGGAACUGCAUUUGUGACUGCGAGGCUGAGUGCGGCAGAGGGGGAUGGAAUUCCGCGUGUAGCAGUGAAAUGCGUAGAUAUGCGGAGGAACACCGAUGGCGAAGGCAAUCCCCUGGGCCUGCACUGACGCUCAUGCACGAAAGCGUGGGGAGCAAACAGGAUUAGAUACCCUGGUAGUCCACGCCCUAAACGAUGUCAACUGGUUGUUGGACGGCUUGCUGUUCAGUAACGAAGCUAACGCGUGAAGUUGACCGCCUGGGGAGUACGGCCGCAAGGUUGAAACUCAAAGGAAUUGGCGGGGACCCGCACAAGCGGUGGAUGAUGUGGUUUAAUUCGAUGCAACGCGAAAAACCUUACCUACCCUUGACAUGUCAAGAAUCUUGCAGAGAUGUGAGAGUGCUCGAAAGAGAACUUGAACACAGGUGCUGCAUGGCCGUCGUCAGCUCGUGUCGUGAGAUGUUGGGUUAAGUCCCGCAACGAGCGCAACCCUUGUCAUUAGUUGCUACGAAAGGGCACUCUAAUGAGACUGCCGGUGACAAACCGGAGGAAGGUGGGGAUGACGUCAGGUCCUCAUGGCCCUUAUGGGUAGGGCUACACACGUCAUACAAUGGCCGGUACAGAGGGCCGCCAACCCGCGAGGGGGAGCUAAUCCCAGAAAACCGGUCGUAGUCCGGAUCGCAGUCUGCAACUCGACUGCGUGAAGUCGGAAUCGCUAUUAAUCGCGGAUCAGCUUGCCGCGGUGAAUACGUUCCCGGGUCUUGUACACACCGCCCGUCACACCAUGGGAGCGGGUUCUGCCAGAAGUAGUUAGCCUAACCGCAAGGGGGGCGAUUACCACGGCAGGGUUCGUGACUGGGGUGAAGUCGUAACAAGGUA
RNAcentral lists this ribosomal RNA (1400 nucleotides) under metagenome. RNAcentral describes it as "bacterial SSU rRNA". It matches the Rfam family "Bacterial small subunit ribosomal RNA". The record is from RNAcentral.